ACGGGGGAUGCGAGCGUUAUCCGGAUUCAUUGGGUUUAAAGGGUGCGUAGGCUGUGCGUCAAGUCGGGGGUGAAAUUCCGGUGCUCAACACCGGGGCUGCCCUUGAUACUGUCGCGCUGGAGUGCGGAUGCCGCCGGAGGAAUGAGUGGUGUAGCGGUGAAAUGCUUAGAUAUCACUCAGAACACCGAUUGCGAAGGCAUCUGGCGAAUCCGUAACUGACGCUGAGGCACGAAAGCGUGGGGAUAGAACAGGAUUAGAUACCCUGGUAUUCCACGCCGUAAACGAUGAUGGCUAACCGCCGGCGACACACUGUCGGUGGCCAAGCGAAAGCGAUAAGCCAUCCACCUGGGGAGUACGUCGGCAACGAUGAAACUCAAAGGAAUUGACGGGGGCCCGCACAAGCGGAGGAACAUGUGGUUUAAUUCGAUGAUACGCGAGGAACCUUACCCGGGCUCGAACGGCACCUGGAUCGCCCAGAGAUGGGCGAGUCUUCGGACAGGUGUCGAGGUGCUGCAUGGUUGUCGUCAGCUCGUGCCGUGAGGGGUCGGCUCAAGUGCCAUAACGAGCGCAACCCUUGCCGCCUUAGUUGCCAUCAGGUGAUGCUGGGCACUCUGGCGGGACUGCCACCGCAAGGUGUGAGGAGGGGGGGGAUGACGUCAAAUCAGCACGGCCCUUACGUCCGGGGCGACACACGUGUUACAAUGGCGGCCACAGAGGGAAGCUACCCCGCGAGGGGAUGCGGAUCUCGAAAAGCCGUCCCAGUUCGGACUGGAGUCUGCAACCCGACUCCACGAAGUUGGAUUCGCUAGUAAUCGCGCAUCAGCCAUGGCGCGGUGAAUACGUUCCCGGGCCUUGUACACACCGCCCGUCAAGCCAUGGAAGCCGCGGGCGCCUGAAGUCCGUGACCGGAAGGAGCGGCCUAGGGCGAAAGUGGUAACUGGGGCUAAGUCGUAACAAGGUAGCCGUACCGGAAGGUGUGGCUG
This 983-nucleotide ribosomal RNA is filed under the name human gut metagenome. RNAcentral describes it as "bacterial SSU rRNA". It matches the Rfam family "Bacterial small subunit ribosomal RNA", at positions 525 to 1520 of the family's 1533-position model. The record is from RNAcentral.